Molecule: ribosomal RNA, 718 nt
Filed under: Rhodococcus erythropolis
Lineage: Bacteria; Bacillati; Actinomycetota; Actinomycetes; Mycobacteriales; Nocardiaceae
Description: bacterial SSU rRNA
Rfam family: Bacterial small subunit ribosomal RNA
Source: RNAcentral
GGCUCAGGACGAACGCUGGCGGCGUGCUUAACACAUGCAAGUCGAGCGGUAAGGCCUUUCGGGGUACACGAGCGGCGAACGGGUGAGUAACACGUGGGUGAUCUGCCCUGCACUUCGGGAUAAGCCUGGGAAACUGGGUCUAAUACCGGAUAUGACCUCCUAUCGCAUGGUGGGUGGUGGAAAGAUUUAUCGGUGCAGGAUGGGCCCGCGGCCUAUCAGCUUGUUGGUGGGGUAAUGGCCUACCAAGGCGACGACGGGUAGCCGACCUGAGAGGGUGACCGGCCACACUGGGACUGAGACACGGCCCAGACUCCUACGGGAGGCAGCAGUGGGGAAUAUUGCACAAUGGGCGAAAGCCUGAUGCAGCGACGCCGCGUGAGGGAUGACGGCCUUCGGGUUGUAAACCUCUUUCAGCAGGGACGAAGCGCAAGUGACGGUACCUGCAGAAGAAGCACCGGCUAACUACGUGCCAGCAGCCGCGGUAAUACGUAGGGUGCAAGCGUUGUCCGGAAUUACUGGGCGUAAAGAGUUCGUAGGCGGUUUGUCGCGUCGUUUGUGAAAACCAGCAGCUCAACUGCUGGCUUGCAGGCGAUACGGGCAGACUUGAGUACUGCAGGGGAGACUGGAAUUCCUGGUGUAGCGGUGAAAUGCGCAGAUAUCAGGAGGAACACCGGUGGCGAAGGCGGGUCUCUGGGCAGUAACUGACGCUGAGAACGAA